AUGAGGUGCUGGCUGCUGCAGUUGAGGAGCAUUUUCAGUGCAAACGACAACAAUUUCCUAUUAAAUACUUGGGCUUGCCUCUCCAUCUACAGAUUGCGGCGUAACGAGCUGCUGCCUCUCAUUGACAAAGUUUCUGGAAAAAUGAAAGGAUGGAAGCCAAAGAUGCUGGCUGCGGCGGGUUGCCUUACGCUCACUCGUUCGGUUUUAAUGGCUUUGCCAAUUCACUUGAUGGUUGUGCUUCCUAUGCCGGCUUGGGCCAUCAAAAUAAUCAAUAGGCGUUGUCGAGGGUUCAUCUGGAAGGGGGAAGAAGAUAUUAAUGGAGGUCAUUGUCUAUUACCAUGGUCAAGAGUCUAUUUGCCAUUGGAAUUGGGAGGUCUCGGUAUAAUUAAUCUAAAGUUGUUCGGCAUGGCGCUUCGUUGCAAAUGGUCGUGGUUAAGGUGGGACACGUGUGAGAGACCAUGGCAU
RNAcentral lists this ribosomal RNA (465 nucleotides) under Triticum aestivum (bread wheat). Its description in RNAcentral is "partial small subunit ribosomal RNA". Lineage: Eukaryota; Viridiplantae; Streptophyta; Magnoliopsida; Poales; Poaceae. The record is from RNAcentral.